RNAcentral lists this ribosomal RNA (468 nucleotides) under uncultured bacterium. Its description in RNAcentral is "partial 16S ribosomal RNA". It matches the Rfam family "Bacterial small subunit ribosomal RNA", at positions 28 to 507 of the family's 1533-position model. The record is from RNAcentral.
GACGAACGCUGGCGGCGUGCUUAACACAUGCAAGUCGAACGGAAAGGCGCUGUCUUUUUGGGGGGGUGGAGGGGCGAACGGGUGAGUAACGCGUGAGUAACGUGCCCUGGACUUUGGGAUAAGUUCACGAAACGGGGGUGAGUACAGUAAGGGAUAUCCUGCGGCAGGGUCGUGGUGGGUAAGUUUCGGCGGUUGGGUAUGGGCUCGCGGCUUAUGAGCUUGUUGGUGGGGUUGUGGCUUACGACGGCUUUGGCGGGUAGCCGGCCUGAGAGGGUUUCCGGCCACAUUGGGACUGCGAUGCGGCCCAGCCUCCUACGGGAGGCCGCAGUGGGGAAUAUUGCACAAUGGGCGGACGCCUGAUGCAGCAACGCCGCGUGCGGGAUGACGGCCUUCGGGUUGUAAACCGCUUUCGCCUGUGACGAAGCGUGAGUGACGGUAAUGGGUAAAGAAGCACCGGCUAACUACGUG